CUGUCCAUAGCUCCUGCUCAUCCUCCGUGCCCCGGGCACAUGUGGCUUUAUGUUGCGGAGGGAGCUGUCGUCAAGCAAUCUGGAAACUCAGAUUUUGUGACAAGAAAACCUUUUCAACCAAACACGUAAAUGGAAAAGCCACAAAUGUUGAAAAGCAACAGAACUGUUCUAAAUAAUGGAGUUAGCGGUCCUUUAUGAAUGCAUACAUCUCGGUUCUGCAUUGGGGACAGAUGUUUGGAGAGCUGUCUUUAUUUUUGGCUUAAUCCCACCUCAAAACCAUCACCACAUGGAGGAACAUCCUAAGGCACCUGAAGCCUCCCUACGGUUCCGAGCUGAGGCUGUGCUUGUCGUAGUCUCAGGAGUGGCACAGAGGCCCACGCCAUGACGAGGGCAGGGCCCGGAGCAGAUUCAGACGCUCAGGGUCUGUUUUCCACCCUCAGCCUGCUCCUGGCAGUGUCUUGGGUCAAGGGGAGCAAGCACCCUGCAUACUCAGAGACCUGACGCAGACCUGCAGAGAAGGACCCUGACCCAGACCCAGCCAGUCAUGGAUUCACCCAGGAGGUGAUGGGCUGUGACAGAGUGCUGUAAGAUACUGACCAGCUUCUGCCAAACCUGGUGAGAGAAGUUCCAUCUCGCUUCCCU
This 642-nucleotide long non-coding RNA is filed under the name Chinchilla lanigera (long-tailed chinchilla). RNAcentral's name for it is "lncRNA (ENSCLAG00000027785.1)". Lineage: Eukaryota; Metazoa; Chordata; Mammalia; Rodentia; Chinchillidae. The record is from RNAcentral.